CAUUUGAUAACUCAGUUGGUAGAGUGGAGCACUUUAGGUUGAUAAUACUAGGUGUCCUUAGGUUGCUAGUUCAAUUCCAGCUCAAAGGA
This 89-nucleotide transfer RNA is filed under the name Perca fluviatilis (European perch). It matches the Rfam family "tRNA". From Rfam's summary of the family: Transfer RNA (tRNA) molecules are approximately 80 nucleotides in length. Their secondary structure includes four short double-helical elements and three loops (D, anti-codon, and T loops). The record is from Rfam by way of RNAcentral. Lineage: Eukaryota; Metazoa; Chordata; Actinopteri; Perciformes; Percidae.